Molecule: small nuclear RNA, 108 nt
Filed under: Myotis davidii
Lineage: Eukaryota; Metazoa; Chordata; Mammalia; Chiroptera; Vespertilionidae
Source: RNAcentral
GCAUUCACUUCGGCAGCACAUAUACUAAAAUUGGAAUGAUACAGAGAAGAUUAGCCUGACCCUUGCGCGAGGAUGACACCUAAAUUUCGUGAAGCGUUCCAUAUUUAA